RNAcentral lists this ribosomal RNA (500 nucleotides) under uncultured bacterium. RNAcentral's name for it is "partial 16S ribosomal RNA". It matches the Rfam family "Bacterial small subunit ribosomal RNA", at positions 30 to 523 of the family's 1533-position model. The record is from RNAcentral.
AUUGAACGCUGGCGGAAUGCUUUACACAUGCAAGACGAACGGCAGCACGGACUUCGGUCUGGUGGCGAGUGGCGAACGGGUGAGUAAUGUAUCGGAACGUGCCCAGUCGUGGGGGAUAACGUAGUGAAAAUUACGCUAAUACCGCAUACGAUCUAUGGAUGAAAGCGGGGGAUCGCAAGACCUCGCGCGAUUGGAGCGGCCGAUAUCAGAUUAGGUAGUUGGUGGGGUAAAGGCCCACCAAGCCAACGAUCUGUAGCUGGUCUGAGAGGACGAUCAGCCACACUGGAACUGAGACACGGUCCAGACUCCUACGGGAGGCAGCAGUGGGGAAUUUUGGACAAUGGGCGAAAGCCUGAUCCAGCCAUUCCGCGUGCAGGAUGAAGGCCCUCGGGUUGUAAACUGCUUUUGUACAGAACGAAAAGGUUUCUACUAAUACUAGGAGCUCAUGACGGUACUGUAAGAAUAAGCACCGGCUAACUACGUGCCAGCCGCCGCGGUAA